ACAUUUGUGUUCAGAGUGGUGGUAGAAUUCUCGCCUUCCAUGUGAGAGACCUGAGUUCGAUUCCCAGCCAAUGCG
This 75-nucleotide transfer RNA is filed under the name Loxodonta africana (African savanna elephant). It matches the Rfam family "tRNA". Rfam says of the family: Transfer RNA (tRNA) molecules are approximately 80 nucleotides in length. Lineage: Eukaryota; Metazoa; Chordata; Mammalia; Proboscidea; Elephantidae. The record is from Rfam by way of RNAcentral.